UACGGAGGGUGCAAGCGUUAAUCGGAAUUACUGGGCGUAAAGAGUGCGUAGGUGGUUGAUUAAGUUAUCUGUGAAAUCCCUGGGCUUAACCUGGGCAGGUCAGAUGAUACUGGUUGACUCGAGUAUGGGAGAGGGUAGUGGAAUUUCCGGUGUAGCGGUGAAAUGCGUAGAGAUCGGAAGGAACACCAGUGGCGAAGGCGGCUACCUGGCCUAAUACUGACACUGAGGCACGAAAGCGUGGGGAGCAAAC
RNAcentral lists this ribosomal RNA (250 nucleotides) under uncultured bacterium. Its description in RNAcentral is "partial 16S ribosomal RNA". It matches the Rfam family "Bacterial small subunit ribosomal RNA", at positions 524 to 773 of the family's 1533-position model. The record is from RNAcentral.